This 3417-nucleotide long non-coding RNA is filed under the name Malus domestica (apple). RNAcentral describes it as "long non-coding RNA (MDOM_LNC014428)". The record is from RNAcentral. Lineage: Eukaryota; Viridiplantae; Streptophyta; Magnoliopsida; Rosales; Rosaceae.
GAAGAUUAUGAUAUACUAGGGAGACCUGUUGAGAACUGCCUAUUUUUUUGCUGGUGAAGCUACCUGCAAGGAGCAUCCUGACACUGUUGGUGAUGCGAUGAUGAGUGGCCUCCGGGAGGCAGUGCGUAUAAUUGACAUACUGACUACUGGAAAUGAUUACACAGCAGAAGCAGACGCCAUUGCGGGUAUUCAGAGACAAUCAGAUUCGGAAAGGGCUGAAGUUAGACACAUAACAAGGAGACUUGAUGCAGUUGAACUUUCAUAUGUCCUUUACACGAACAAGGAGGCCCUACUCCAGGACAUGUUCUUUAAUGCAAAGACUACCAAAGGAAGGUUGCAUCUGGCCAAAGAGUUAUUGAGUCUUCCUGUUGAAACCUUGAAGUCCUUUGCUCGCACCAAAGAAGGGCUGACUACUCUCAACUCGUGGAUACUGGUAAUUCUGCAUCCAUAUUUAUCAUUGUUUAUACCAUAUUUAGGGCCUCGUAUUUAGAUCUCGUACAAAUACUCAGGGGACUUAAAUGUAAUUAUGGGAUAAAGGAAGGGGCAAAUAUGUAAUAGAGGAGGAGCCCCUUAUUCUAUAAAAGGGGACUCCUACCCUCAUUCUAGGGGGAGCCUCACUCUCAUCCUCAGAGGCCAAUUCCUAGGUCUCUCCUCAUCCCUCUCAAAGCUUCCUCACAUCCCCUAAGCUCUAAGCUCUCUCUUCCUCUUCAACAGAGAAAUACAAUACAAUCAGUGUGGACGUAGCCCAAACCUUGGGGUGAACCACGAUAACUCUUGUGUCAAUUACAUUUUAUGCAGAUUCACGGUCGGAUUUACGUUGUUCCAAGAUCUCCGGUUUUGUGCAUCAACAUUUGGCGCCGUCUGUGGGAAACGACACGAAAAGUUAUGUCGGUUCUCUCUCGAUUCUUCACCUCCACCGUGAAUCUGCAUAAACACCAAACCAAAAUCUCAGAUCUCGCUCUCUAGAAACCCAGAAAUGGGGCCAGCGAAAAAGCCCAACUGAGAAAUAAGGAGCCAUUCUUAAUCUCGCCAGCCCGAACUCACAACUUACAGCUCCAUGCUUCAGAAAAAUGAAGGUCCCCUGCUACCCUUCCGCGAAUUCUCAGUCUGAAAUCACAACUUGCAACUUUCAGUCUUCCAUCUCUCAGGCUGGCGAUUAUCGACAAAUUUCGCCAAACCCACCACCCAUGUCUACCACUACCACAGCAACAGCUGGUUCCACGAAUGCGCCAAGUGGUAUGAUCUCAACCGUCGCUUCAUUGUCUCCUCCAUAGACAGCGGAAGACAACGCGGUUUGUGCCCAAUCAUCACAAGCCGUAUGAUCAAAUCCCCCGACUCUUCUCGGCCCUCUAGAAGUUCGGCAAACCUGCACAGACCACCCCACCGUCUCAACCCGAACCCAAAUGCGAGCCCAAACCCGCAACUGGCAAACGCUUCAAUCGACUCCUUGUUCGAUCAGGCCACUCUGAUCUGCAAGAGCAUCGCGAGGAAGGUGUUCCUGCACGAAUCAUAUCAGGAAUACAAUUUCUGUACGAAACUAUGCCACAUCAAUUCGAAACCAUGAGUUUUGCUGCAACCACCAAACUCCUCUUCAAAGUCCUCUGCUAUGGCGAUUAUAUCAUUGUGGUCGGAGGUGGAGGGCCAAAGGUUCGACUCGGCAACCACAAAACUGACCAAUCCCGACGCCCCCUGCCUCUCCGAGCUCGUCCACCACUUCCUCCAAGACGACGAGUCGUCCGCCGCUGGUUUUCCCGAUAACGAGUCUGACUCGGACCAAGUCGACUCGGCCUCCGACGCGGACGCAAUCAACUCCAUCCUUAGGUCAGUGGCAUCUUCUGAAGCGCAAGAUUAGAGAACAAGGAUGUGAUCGACUCUAUCCUUAGGUCCGUGGCACCUUCACGUUCGGGAAGAAGGACACGUCGACGGAUCUGUACUCGAUCUGUUCAGUCAAACAGAACAAGAUUAGGAGCCAUGCAAUCGGGAAUCAGGAAGUUGCUAGUGGAAUCGAUGACGGACUUCGUUUCGAACAUGGUGGACAAGUCAGCGUACGCGCUGAGCGUCCCCGUAUCGGUAUUGGAGGCCUGCACGGCGUUGGUAGAGGAAGGCAGAAUUCCGGUGCAGGUGGAGAUCAUAGAGGCGGGGUCGCAGCGGCAGAAGGAGAUAUCAGUUGCGAUAUAUUGUUGCAGAUUUGUGAGAAUAGUGCUCCCAAAAUUUACUGGCACGUAACCUUCGAUUUUGUUAAAACCCAAAUCAAGGGCGACGAGCUCUCCACCGCCAUUGCGCUCCGGGAUCUCGACACCUGUCAGGUUGUUAUUCACCAAGUCAACUUGCUGGAUAGACGGGAGGAGAAAGAACUAGAGCAUCUGAAGUCUGAACUCUCUCUCUCCCUCCGCUGUCAACUCUCUUAGUCUCGCAGUCAACUCGGACAAGGGAAACAGCUAAGAAGCUUGUGGGCAUUUCAUUGCAUCCAUAACUAGCAAGAAUGAUGAUGUUGAAAAUAGAGCAAGCUUGUGCGAAUACUAUUGUUUUAUGCGCUGGAUCCCAUUGUUUUUUAUGAAGGAGAGAAACCGCCUGGUAGAGAGAUUCUAGAAACAUCUGCAAGAAAUCUCCUUCUCAGUGAUGGGACUAAAGUUGCUGUCAAGAACAAAGAAGGAGUGGAGACAGCGCAGGAGCCAGCAUUACACACCACUUGGCCUUACGGAUCAAGGACAGAGAAUGAGUGGAGAGAUAAAGAAUAGCAAAUGGUCAUUGAGGUGGGGUUUCUGAAGACAAAGACAUCGAGUGGGAGGCCACGUUCUUUACGUUAUUUACAUUUUUUACAGCUGGAGUACACCAGCUUGUGUUCAAACAGCAGAAACCAGGCUGAAAGAGAAAGGCAGUGGCGGACAAAGCAAAAAGAAAAGAGAAAGAAAAGGGAAAGUAAAAACAAAAGCAAGUGAGUGUGUCUGGAGGUGGAGAGAUCAAAGAAAGGAACAGAAAAGAAAAAGAUCAUGUUGUUGGGAGAAUAUUUCGGAAAGCAGAAAAGGAGAAAGCAAAAGGAAAAGCAGAAAAUGAAAAGAGAAAAGAAGAAAAGCAAAAGAUCUUCCUAUUAUUAUGAUUCCUUAUGUCUGCCAGAUAAAGAACCAAAGAGAGUGCAGCAGAAAAACACUGCAAAAGCAUGGAAUAAGCACCCCACCAGAAUGAUGUAAUUUAUUUUCCUUAUCUUUCGGACACAUCUGUAUAAACCCCAUCAGAGGGUAAAAUAAAAAAAAAAAAAAAAAAAAAAAAAAAAAAAAAAAAAAAAAAAAAAAAAGAAGAACAACGACAAGCCCAAAGUAAAUGGGCUGGAAUGUUGUGUAGAGGGCGAAAACCCAUAAGCCCAAAAUAGCUCCAACCAGACGAUCAAAAGUACGCCCAGUACUCCAAAUUAUACAUGAG